This 399-nucleotide long non-coding RNA is filed under the name Cricetulus griseus (Chinese hamster). Its description in RNAcentral is "lncRNA (ENSCGRG00015033499.1)". Lineage: Eukaryota; Metazoa; Chordata; Mammalia; Rodentia; Cricetidae. The record is from RNAcentral.
CUCCGUGUAGCUUUGGAGUGUAUCCUGGCACUUGCUCUGGAGACCAGGCUGGCCUCGAACUCACAGAGAUCCACCUGCCUCUGCCUCCCGAGUGUUGGGAUUAAAGCUGACUGGCAAAGAUCUUGGUGAAGACAGGACUGUGUGCAUUUGCUAAAAGGACAGUGGUAUCAAGAGAUGGAGGACUGUGUCUUCUGUCACCUUGAACUUUUAAGAACAAGGACAGGAUUUCUCUGUGUAAUGGCUCGGGCUGUCUUGGAACACACUCUGUAGACCACACGUGCCUCAAACUCAGAGAUCUACCUGCUUCUGCCUUCCAAGUGCUGGGAUUAAAGUCAUGUACCACACCACAUCUGGCUUUCUUUUCUUUUCUUUUUUACUGUCUUUUUUUUUUUUUUUUUU